RNAcentral lists this long non-coding RNA (538 nucleotides) under Olea europaea subsp. europaea. The record is from RNAcentral. Lineage: Eukaryota; Viridiplantae; Streptophyta; Magnoliopsida; Lamiales; Oleaceae.
CAGAGAAGCUGAGAGAAGGAGAGAAGAAUUGAGAAGGAGGUAGAGAAGGAAACAAGAUAGAGAGAAAGAAAAGGGGGAAAAAAAGGUGGAAAAAGAAAAGGAAAAAUGUAUUAUUGAAGAAGAUGAUAUAUGGACUCAAAUACAAGUUUCAUCCUUUCUUCUAUUCUAUUCCAAGAGGUAAGAAAAACUUAUUGUUAUUCAAUAUUGUUAGAUUUGGGUUUGUAGUUAGUGGCCUAACUUAAAAGAUUUGGAGGAAAGAAUAGAUAUUGGAGUUGAAAAUCUGUUAAAGGAAUAUGAAAUGGGUUUGUAAAUUAAAGCAUAAAUCUUUAUAUUUAUAGUGUAUAUGAUACAAAACAAUUGAUUUAUGAGGAAUUACAAUGAAAUAUGGAGUUGAGGUUGGAUUUUGGUUUUUUUUUUUUUUUUUAAACUAAUUUUCGGGCAAAAUGAAUGCAUAGUGCUAUUUCUGAAAUUGUGCCCAGAAAGUGUCAUUUCUGUCAAUAGUUUUGGUGGCAGAUAUCCAUUUUCUAGAAUUUUGGAU